Microcebus murinus (gray mouse lemur) is the source of this 579-nucleotide non-coding RNA. The record is from RefSeq and is a predicted model, not a curated record. NCBI's taxonomy places the organism in Eukaryota, Metazoa, Chordata, Mammalia, Primates, Cheirogaleidae.
ACUGGAACUGGCGUACGGGGUUAUCUCCCCACUCGCUCCUUGGUAUCGGAUUUCCCUCAAGUUUUCCAGCCCCGAGGUAAAAAGGAAAGGAGACCAGACGUUAGACCUCCCUCACAGUCAUCACUUCACCAGCACAGAGCUCAGACGCCCCUCCGUGGAAGAUUAGGGGGCAGGCGCCCGUCCCUGCGCUUCCGGCCCCGGCCCCGCCCAUUUCCUUCCGCGCCGGAUUCCUGAGGAGAAAGCGGGCCCUGGUUCUGGGAGACAGUCUCGAAGCUACCUUCGGCGCCGGGCUCUCUGAGCAUGCGCGCACCGAGCCUCGCGCCGUCCCUCACUCACUCCCGUCCCCCUCCCCCGCGCCCCGCGUCCAGUAGAAGGAGGCGGGAGUAUUUUCACUGCGGGAACUGCUUUAGGUCCCGGGUUGUUUUCCCUGUGCAGAUAAUCCAAACUCGCGCGAGAAACCCAGGGCUGGGGCGCUGACAAGAAAUGGGGGACCCGGGGACCGAGCCGAGCAGCUCACCAGCUGAAGCCAAGCAAGUAUACAGUUUUGCUGUUGCCCAGACUGGAGUACCCUGGCACAAU